AGCGAACGCUGGCGGCAGGCUUAACACAUGCAAGUCGAGCGGGCAUCCUUGUGGUGUCAGCGGCAGACGGGUGAGUAACGCGUGGGAACGUGCCCUUCGGUUCAGAAUAACUCAGGGAAACUUGAGCUAAUACCGGAUACGUGCGAGAGCAGAAAGGUUUAUCUGCCGAAGGAUCGGCCCGCGUCUGAUUAGCUAGUUGGUGAGGUUACGGCUCACCAAGGCGACGAUCAGUAGCUGGUCUGAGAGGAUGAUCAGCCACACUGGGACUGAGACACGGCCCAGACUCCUACGGGAGGCAGCAGUGGGGAAUAUUGGACAAUGGGGGCAACCCUGAUCCAGCCAUGCCGCGUGAGUGAUGACGGCCUUAGGGUUGUAAAGCUCUUUUCUCCGGGACGAUAAUGACGGUACCGGAGGAAUAAGCCCCGGCUAACUUCGUG
Molecule: ribosomal RNA, 437 nt
Filed under: uncultured bacterium
Lineage: Bacteria
Description: partial 16S ribosomal RNA
Rfam family: Bacterial small subunit ribosomal RNA
Source: RNAcentral